RNAcentral lists this ribosomal RNA (1433 nucleotides) under uncultured organism. Its description in RNAcentral is "16S ribosomal RNA". It matches the Rfam family "Bacterial small subunit ribosomal RNA". The record is from RNAcentral.
CAGGCUUAACACAUGCAAGUCGAGGGGCAGCAUUUCAGUUUGCUUGCAAACUGGAGAUGGCGACCGGCGCACGGGUGAGUAACACGUAUCCAACCUGCCGAUAACUCGGGGAUAGCCUUUCGAAAGAAAGAUUAAUACCCGAUGGUAUAAUCAGACCGCAUGGUCUUGUUAUUAAAGAAUUUCGGUUAUCGAUGGGGAUGCGUUCCAUUAGGCAGUUGGUGAGGUAACGGCUCACCAAACCUUCGAUGGAUAGGGGUUCUGAGAGGAAGGUCCCCCACAUUGGAACUGAGACACGGUCCAAACUCCUACGGGAGGCAGCAGUAAGGAAUAUUGGUCAAUGGGCGCAGGCCUGAACCAGCCAAGUAGCGUGAAGGAUGACUGCCCUAUGGGUUGUAAACUUCUUUUAUAUGGGAAUAAAGUUUUCCACGUGUGGAAUUUUGUAUGUACCAUAUGAAUAAGGAUCGGCUAACUCCGUGCCAGCAGCCGCGGUAAUACGGAGGAUCCGAGCGUUAUCCGGAUUUAUUGGGUUUAAAGGGAGCGUAGGUGGACAGUUAAGUCAGUUGUGAAAGUUUGCGGCUCAACCGUAAAAUUGCAGUUGAUACUGGCUGUCUUGAGUACAGUAGAGGUGGGCGGAAUUCGUGGUGUAGCGGUGAAAUGCUUAGAUAUCACGAAGAACUCCGAUUGCGAAGGUAGCUCACUGGACUGCAACUGACACUGAUGCUCGAAAGUGUGGGUAUCAAACAGGAUUAGAUACCCUGGUAGUCCACACAGUAAACGAUGAAUACUCGCUGUUUGCGAUAUACAGUAAGCGGCCAAGCGAAAGCAUUAAGUAUUCCACCUGGGGAGUACGCCGGCAACGGUGAAACUCAAAGGAAUUGACGGGGGCCCGCACAAGCGGAGGAACAUGUGGUUUAAUUCGAUGAUACGCGAGGAACCUUACCCGGGCUUAAAUUGCAUUUGAAUAUAUUGGAAACAGUAUAGCCGUAAGGCAAAUGUGAAGGUGCUGCAUGGUUGUCGUCAGCUCGUGCCGUGAGGUGUCGGCUUAAGUGCCAUAACGAGCGCAACCCUUAUCUUUAGUUACUAACAGGUCAUGCUGAGGACUCUAGAGAGACUGCCGUCGUAAGAUGUGAGGAAGGUGGGGAUGACGUCAAAUCAGCACGGCCCUUACGUCCGGGGCUACACACGUGUUACAAUGGGGGUACAGAAGGCAGCUACCUGGUGACAGGAUGCUAAUCCCAAAAGCCUCUCUCAGUUCGGAUCGAAGUCUGCAACCCGACUUCGUGAAGCUGGAUUCGCUAGUAAUCGCGCAUCAGCCAUGGCGCGGUGAAUACGUUCCCGGGCCUUGUACACACCGCCCGUCAAGCCAUGAAAGCCGGGGGUACCUGAAGUACGUAACCGCAAGGAGCGUCCUAGGGUAAACUGGUAAUUGGGGC